UAAUGUCGGGAACUCCAGGGAGACUGCCGGUGAUAAACCGGAGGAAGGUGGGGACGACGUCAAGUCAUCAUGGCCCUUACGAGUAGGGCUACACACGUGCUACAAUGGCGUAUACAGAGGGCAGCAAGACCGCGAGGUGGAGCGAAUCCCAGAAAGUACGUCGUAGUCCGGAUCGGAGUCUGCAACUCGACUCCGUGAAGUCGGAAUCGCUAGUAAUCGUGGAUCAGAAUGCCACGGUGAAUACGUUCCCGGGCCUUGUACACACCGCCCGUCACACCAUGGGAGUGGGCUGCACCAGAAGUAGAUAGCUUAACCUUCGGGAGGGCGUUUACCACGGUGUGGUUCAUGACUGGGGUGAAGUCGUAACAAGGUAGCCCUAGGGGAACCUGGGGCUGGAUCACCUCCUUAACGA
Molecule: ribosomal RNA, 412 nt
Filed under: Enterovibrio norvegicus FF-33
Lineage: Bacteria; Pseudomonadati; Pseudomonadota; Gammaproteobacteria; Vibrionales; Vibrionaceae
Description: bacterial SSU rRNA
Rfam family: Bacterial small subunit ribosomal RNA
Source: RNAcentral